This 2904-nucleotide ribosomal RNA is filed under the name Salmonella enterica subsp. enterica serovar Madelia. Its description in RNAcentral is "bacterial LSU rRNA". It matches the Rfam family "Bacterial large subunit ribosomal RNA". Lineage: Bacteria; Pseudomonadati; Pseudomonadota; Gammaproteobacteria; Enterobacterales; Enterobacteriaceae. The record is from RNAcentral.
UUAAGCGACUAAGCGUACACGGUGGAUGCCCUGGCAGUCAGAGGCGAUGAAGGACGUGCUAAUCUGCGAUAAGCGCCGGUAAGGUGAUAUGAACCGUUAUAACCGGCGAUUUCCGAAUGGGGAAACCCAGUGUGACUCGUCACACUAUCAUUAACUGAAUCCAUAGGUUAAUGAGGCGAACCGGGGGAACUGAAACAUCUAAGUACCCCGAGGAAAAGAAAUCAACCGAGAUUCCCCCAGUAGCGGCGAGCGAACGGGGAGGAGCCCAGAGCCUGAAUCAGCAUGUGUGUUAGUGGAAGCGUCUGGAAAGGCGCGCGAUACAGGGUGACAGCCCCGUACACAAAAGCGCAUAUGCUGUGAGCUCGAUGAGUAGGGCGGGACACGUGGUAUCCUGUCUGAAUAUGGGGGGACCAUCCUCCAAGGCUAAAUACUCCUGACUGACCGAUAGUGAACCAGUACCGUGAGGGAAAGGCGAAAAGAACCCCGGCGAGGGGAGUGAAAAAGAACCUGAAACCGUGUACGUACAAGCAGUGGGAGCACCCUUUUGGGUGUGACUGCGUACCUUUUGUAUAAUGGGUCAGCGACUUAUAUUCUGUAGCAAGGUUAACCGAAUAGGGGAGCCGGAGGGAAACCGAGUCUUAAUUGGGCGUUAAGUUGCAGGGUAUAGACCCGAAACCCGGUGAUCUAGCCAUGGGCAGGUUGAAGGUUGGGUAACACUAACUGGAGGACCGAACCGACUAAUGUUGAAAAAUUAGCGGAUGACCUGUGGCUGGGGGUGAAAGGCCAAUCAAACCGGGAGAUAGCUGGUUCUCCCCGAAAGCUAUUUAGGUAGCGCCUCGUGAAUUCAUCUCCGGGGGUAGAGCACUGUUUCGGCUAGGGGGCCAUCCCGGCUUACCAACCCGAUGCAAACUGCGAAUACCGGAGAAUGUUAUCACGGGAGACACACGGCGGGUGCUAACGUCCGUCGUGAAGAGGGAAACAACCCAGACCGCCAGCUAAGGUCCCAAAGUCAUGGUUAAGUGGGAAACGAUGUGGGAAGGCCCAGACAGCCAGGAUGUUGGCUUAGAAGCAGCCAUCAUUUAAAGAAAGCGUAAUAGCUCACUGGUCGAGUCGGCCUGCGCGGAAGAUGUAACGGGGCUAAACCAUGCACCGAAGCUGCGGCAGCGACGCUUAUGCGUUGUUGGGUAGGGGAGCGUUCUGUAAGCCUGUGAAGGUGGCCUGUGAGGGUUGCUGGAGGUAUCAGAAGUGCGAAUGCUGACAUAAGUAACGAUAAAGCGGGUGAAAAGCCCGCUCGCCGGAAGACCAAGGGUUCCUGUCCAACGUUAAUCGGGGCAGGGUGAGUCGACCCCUAAGGCGAGGCCGAAAGGCGUAGUCGAUGGGAAACGGGUUAAUAUUCCCGUACUUGGUGUUACUGCGAAGGGGGGACGGAGAAGGCUAUGUUGGCCGGGCGACGGUUGUCCCGGUUUAAGCGUGUAGGUGUGUGUUCCAGGUAAAUCCGGUUCACUUUAACACUGAGGCGUGACGACGAGGCACUACGGUGCUGAAGCAACAAAUGCCCUGCUUCCAGGAAAAGCCUCUAAGCAUCAGGUAACACGAAAUCGUACCCCAAACCGACACAGGUGGUCAGGUAGAGAAUACCAAGGCGCUUGAGAGAACUCGGGUGAAGGAACUAGGCAAAAUGGUGCCGUAACUUCGGGAGAAGGCACGCUGACAUGUAGGUGAAGUGAUUUACUCAUGGAGCUGAAGUCAGUCGAAGAUACCAGCUGGCUGCAACUGUUUAUUAAAAACACAGCACUGUGCAAACACGAAAGUGGACGUAUACGGUGUGACGCCUGCCCGGUGCCGGAAGGUUAAUUGAUGGGGUCAGCGCAAGCGAAGCUCCUGAUCGAAGCCCCGGUAAACGGCGGCCGUAACUAUAACGGUCCUAAGGUAGCGAAAUUCCUUGUCGGGUAAGUUCCGACCUGCACGAAUGGCGUAAUGAUGGCCAGGCUGUCUCCACCCGAGACUCAGUGAAAUUGAACUCGCUGUGAAGAUGCAGUGUACCCGCGGCAAGACGGAAAGACCCCGUGAACCUUUACUAUAGCUUGACACUGAACAUUGAGCCUUGAUGUGUAGGAUAGGUGGGAGGCUUUGAAGUGUGGACGCCAGUCUGCAUGGAGCCGACCUUGAAAUACCACCCUUUAAUGUUUGAUGUUCUAACGUGGACCCGUGAUCCGGGUUGCGGACAGUGUCUGGUGGGUAGUUUGACUGGGGCGGUCUCCUCCUAAAGAGUAACGGAGGAGCACGAAGGUUGGCUAAUCCUGGUCGGACAUCAGGAGGUUAGUGCAAUGGCAUAAGCCAGCUUGACUGCGAGCGUGACGGCGCGAGCAGGUGCGAAAGCAGGUCAUAGUGAUCCGGUGGUUCUGAAUGGAAGGGCCAUCGCUCAACGGAUAAAAGGUACUCCGGGGAUAACAGGCUGAUACCGCCCAAGAGUUCAUAUCGACGGCGGUGUUUGGCACCUCGAUGUCGGCUCAUCACAUCCUGGGGCUGAAGUAGGUCCCAAGGGUAUGGCUGUUCGCCAUUUAAAGUGGUACGCGAGCUGGGUUUAGAACGUCGUGAGACAGUUCGGUCCCUAUCUGCCGUGGGCGCUGGAGAACUGAGGGGGGCUGCUCCUAGUACGAGAGGACCGGAGUGGACGCAUCACUGGUGUUCGGGUUGUCAUGCCAAUGGCACUGCCCGGUAGCUAAAUGCGGAAGAGAUAAGUGCUGAAAGCAUCUAAGCACGAAACUUGCCCCGAGAUGAGUUCUCCCUGAGACUUAGAGUCUCCUGAAGGAACGUUGAAGACGACGACGUUGAUAGGCCGGGUGUGUAAGCGCAGCGAUGCGUUGAGCUAACCGGUACUAAUGAACCGUGAGGCUUAACCUU